UAGGGAAUCUUCCGCAAUGGGCGAAAGCCUGACGGAGCAACGCCGCGUGAGUGAUGAAGGUCUUCGGAUCGUAAAACUCUGUUAUUAGGGAAGAACAAAUGUGUAAGUAACUAUGCACGUCUUGACGGUACCUAAUCAGAAAGCCACGGCUAACUACGUGCCAGCAGCCGCGGUAAUACGUAGGUGGCAAGCGUUAUCCGGAAUUAUUGGGCGUAAAGCGCGCGUAGGCGGUUUUUUAAGUCUGAUGUGAAAGCCCACGGCUCAACCGUGGAGGGUCAUUGGAAACUGGAAAACUUGAGUGCAGAAGAGGAAAGUGGAAUUCCAUGUGUAGCGGUGAAAUGCGCAGAGAUAUGGAGGAACACCAGUGGCGAAGGCGACUUUCUGGUCUGUAACUGACGCAGAUGUGCGAAAGCGUGGGGAUCAAACAGG
Molecule: ribosomal RNA, 429 nt
Filed under: Actinomycetes bacterium
Lineage: Bacteria; Bacillati; Actinomycetota; Actinomycetes
Also listed under: 1 other name
Description: Actinobacteria bacterium partial 16S ribosomal RNA
Rfam family: Bacterial small subunit ribosomal RNA
Source: RNAcentral